Molecule: small nucleolar RNA, 141 nt
Organism: Jaculus jaculus (lesser Egyptian jerboa)
Lineage: Eukaryota; Metazoa; Chordata; Mammalia; Rodentia; Dipodidae
Source: Ensembl
AUCCAAGGUGAUUCCCUCUCCAAGGAUCCAACUAAUGCCCUUUCCAGAAAUGUAGCAACGUGGAAGAAACCUGGCAUGCGUAAGGUCCUUGGAGCAAAUGGGACACCUGUUUCCUUUGCCUUCCUUUGGCUGCUUACAUAC